Molecule: small RNA, 29 nt
Filed under: Bombyx mori (domestic silkworm)
Lineage: Eukaryota; Metazoa; Arthropoda; Insecta; Lepidoptera; Bombycidae
Description: ovarian small RNA-25235
Source: RNAcentral
UCACGAGGUAGGCCCCCUGAGGCGGCGCU